GUGCUCGCAUUGGCGGCACACACACUAAAAUUAGAAUGAUCCAGAGAAGAUUAGUAUGGCCUCUGUGCAAGAAAAAGAAAAGAAAACCAAGCCUAA
This 96-nucleotide small nuclear RNA is filed under the name Otolemur garnettii (small-eared galago). The record is from RNAcentral. Lineage: Eukaryota; Metazoa; Chordata; Mammalia; Primates; Galagidae.